GGAGGUAGUUCAAUGGUAGAGCACUUGCCUGGUGUGCCUGAGGUUCUGGGUUCCAUCCCCAGCACUGCA
This 69-nucleotide transfer RNA is filed under the name Marmota monax (woodchuck). RNAcentral describes it as "tRNA.Thr". The stretch from base 5 to 63 matches the Rfam family "tRNA", at positions 7 to 64 of the family's 71-position model. Rfam says of the family: Transfer RNA (tRNA) molecules are approximately 80 nucleotides in length. The record is from RNAcentral. Lineage: Eukaryota; Metazoa; Chordata; Mammalia; Rodentia; Sciuridae.